AGAAAAGCAUGAAUGCAUUUGAAAAUUAUGCUGGUUAUGGUUUCAUCUGUUAAAUGUAAUGCACAACCAAGACCAUUUGUUUUUAUCACUUUACACAUUUAUUCUGGGGUCCAACGAGGAACUAAAAGCUUCUGCUUGAUGAUAAACAAAAGGAGAAGAAUGUAAUUUCAAAAAAACAUUUUCAUGCAUGGAUUUUCUCUUCAACCACCUUUGACCUUUUUCAAAAGGUGCCAAUGAGAGGACGGAGGCCAACUAAUUUAUAGCUGGGAAACCAUCUCACCUUUGAGAAUACAUUCCAAUUCUCAAGUCUAUUGUUGAAAACCAUGCCUUCUUUUAGAAUAUCUUUCUAUUUUAGAGUUAGUUCCACAAUAAUUCCACCACAUCCAGAUGACAGAGAAUAGUGCAGGUGUCCGAUAGGCCGUUCUGAGAGAUGGGGAGGGGCUACCUACACUAACCACACACCAAAAGAGGAGGGGGUUGGGGCUGUAAUUGUAGAGCACCAAUAGAAGACAGCUAUCAGACUGUAAGACUGCCAUCCCCUUAAUCUUCAUACAGUAUAAACAUAUUAAACAGCCCUGUCUCACAUACCUCUCUACAACACAGGAAACACCUCCCUCCAGAUAACAGACAUACCUCUCCACAACACAGGAAACACCUCCCUCCAGAUAACAGACAUAUCUCUCCAGAACACAGAAAACACCUCCCUCCAGAUAACAGACAUACCUCUCCUGUCACAGGAAACACCUCCCUCCAGAUAACAGACAUACCUCUCCUGUCACAGGAAACACCUCCCUACAGAUAACAGACAUACCUCCCCACAACACAGGAAACACCUCCCUCCAGAUAACAGACAUACCUCUCCACAACACAGGAAACACCUCCCUCCAGAUAACAGACAUACCUCUCCUGUCACAGGAAACACCUCCCUACAGAUAUCAGACAUAUCUCUCCAGAACACAGGAAACACCUCCCUCCAGAUAACAGACAUACCUCUCCUGUCACAGGAAACACCUCCCUACAGAUAACAGACAUACCUCUCCACAACACAGGAAACACCUCCCUCCAGAUAACAGACAUACCUCUCCAGAACACAGGAAACACCUCCCUCCAGAUAACAGACGUACCUCUCCACAACACAGGAAACACCUCCCUCCAGAUAACAGAC
Molecule: long non-coding RNA, 1165 nt
Organism: Esox lucius (northern pike)
Lineage: Eukaryota; Metazoa; Chordata; Actinopteri; Esociformes; Esocidae
Source: Ensembl